CUAAAAUUGAAGUUCACCAAAGCAUGGCUGUCUUUUCUCAUGUUACCACUACCACUUGAUGUGUACAAGGAGGUCCUUGCUUCAAUUCAUCAAAAUGUCAUUCCUUCAAUGUCAAACCCUUCCAUCUUAUGUGAUUUCUUGACUAGAUCAUAUGGUAUUGGUGGUGUUAUCAGUGUAAUG
This is a long non-coding RNA of Zea mays, 180 nucleotides long. RefSeq lists it as uncharacterized. The record is from RefSeq and is a predicted model, not a curated record. Lineage: Eukaryota; Viridiplantae; Streptophyta; Magnoliopsida; Poales; Poaceae. The transcript has 3 exons.